AGUGGAGUUUAGUAACAAUCAGGAUGUGAAAUGGCGUAGCUGUUGUCUGUCCGAGAGGGACAGCAGGCCGGGAUACAGAGAAACAACCUGGUCAUGAACCGCGCAGAAAUGGACUUUAAUUCAUGUCUUUCAUCAUUACUCUGAUAAACUAGUGAAGAAGACCUUCGACCUCAUCCUGCUGACUUCUAAGAUAAAAAUUUGACCAUGCAUGAGUAUAAGACUCCAGAGAAAGCUGCGCCAGAUGAGAAGUGGUUCAGCAGCAGGAUGAAGCCUGUCCUGCGCCCAAGUCCUUUAGAUCUGCUCAGCACUGCACCUGGGUAGCAUUUAAUGCUUCAUCCGUCCAUUCAUUUAUCCAGGAUGACCUCGGCGGCGUAGUCCGGGCUGCUUUUAUUUCCUCUUUCUUCAUCCGAGUUUUGAGCUAGUUUCCCCCAUUUUAAUAUGAUGAAUUGUUUACUUGAUUCCUAUUUUUAACUCAAACUGUAUCCACUCUUCUCAGUAGACAGUAAACGGUUUCACACAGCUUUUUAAUCCUGUCCUAUUAACGAGCUUUAAACGAGCCUGUCUCAUCGAAACAUACUCUAGGUGUGAUGAUUAAACGGAUGGCAAGAAGAAGAGUGAGAUUCGCUAUCUGAGUUUGUGGAAAAUUACAUAAAAUGCACAAACGGUUCAUAGCUGUAACGUCAUCUUCUAAUGUAAUCGUUCAAAAAGGUUAUAACUGCAGAAGAAAUGUAAAUGUUUAUUUGGAUAACUGAACACCAAGUCAGCUUAUUAACAGAUUAUUAACCUGCAUGGAAAUGGAUUUAAGUCAUAAGAUGGAAUAGUUAAAUCCCACACAUUUAUUUAGGUUUAUUACAUUUACUUUUUUCCCGAGGAAGUAAGUUUGUGUGUGUGUGUGUGUGUGUGUGUGAUCCUUGCCGUGUUUGACCUGUAGUGACGAUGGGUUGAAUUAAAUAAAUAUUUCCUAAAAGCAUUGUAACACGAUUGUUAAAAUGGAAGAGCAAACAUCACAUUGAACACUCUCUCUCUCUCUUUCCAUCAGCCAUGACCUUUUAACAUUACAGUGCUUUUAGGAAAGCAAAUCCGUGCGUUUUGAGCGUAAAUGGCGUCUACGGACGGGGGAUAUGUGCAAUACGUCUGUUUUUUUUUGUUUUGUUUUUUUUGUCUUUUUUUUUUUGGGUCCUGUUUCGAGAUAAAUGUGUAUAUUGUACAAACAAGUGACGAGUUGUUCGUGCGACAAACAACAAAAUCACCAAUGUCUUCCAUUAAGUGAUGUAUAGUUUCAUCCGCUUGUUCGGUAGCGGGAUCUGUCGUGCCAACGUUAUAUGUGGCCAUGCAUGAGCGGACUCGAUGCUUGCAGAGUAGUUGUAGUGAAAUCCAGUUUAUAAACCUUAACGCAUAUUAGCUAAUAGUUGAGCAGGUGGUGAUUAGUCUCAAUACCACUGUGUAGCUUUGAGAAUAGUGAGCUUUGGAGAAUUUAAUUUCAUUUUUUUGUGUGUGUGUUUGUUGUCUUUUGAUCUUUAGUCGCCUGAUCUCAUCAUUUUCUUCAGAUCACUUUCCUGAAACAAAAAAAAAAAACAGUCUUUGGGUCUAUGUUUAAAUUGAAAUCAGAGCCUCGAGACAACAAAUCACAACUCUUUUAUUUUUCAUUAUAUAAUCUUAUGUUCUUAGUGUUAAUUUUGCUAGUUAGCAUCGAACAACCUGACUAGCGACUAGCUAACUAAGGUGAAACUGUGCUCGUCGGCGCUGUAAGUUAGGACAAAAUAAAUAACGAACAACAAAAUAACAAGAAUAAUCAUUUUUUUAAAAACGCUCUAGUCUGGAGUGGCUUAUAGGUAGCAUCGUCACUCUGACACGGUUUCGGAUGCACCGGAGGGUUAGUUUAGCUAGCGUUAACGUAGCAGACAUUCUAGAUUUUAGUUAACGAGUAGUUAGCGUCUCUAGUCGAUCAGAAUAAGGUGAUGUAGAUAGUUAAAUACCUCAAUCACUGGAAUGCAAAGUCUAUUUUUUAGAUUCCAUUGACAAAUAUGCAAGCCAUACUGCGCAUUAUGUUAGAUGUUACAUAUGAGGUUUGAUCCGUGCCAAAAAAAAAAAAUGUUGGCAUCGCAUCAUGUGGUCAGUGUGUUUACUCUCUGUUGUCGUUUUUCCUUCAUGAUUCCGAACAGAAGGUCCCAGGAGAAGGAGCGUUGCCUGUGUUACGCCAUCAUCACAGCUUAUUAUACAGAUCCGUCUCGUAUCGAUCUGAAAGUCAUUUUAAUUGGAGAGUUGAAACAAAUCUUCAGAAUUCACCCUUUGCCACGUGACCGCUGUGUCUCCAUGUGCCCCGAACCUUCCUGAAUCCGUAGGUUCAUGGUUUUUUUUUUUUGGCACAGAUAGACCCUCAUCAUUUAGAAGCAAUAAUUCUAUUAUGCAUGAAAACUCUAGUGCCAGAAAACGGCGUUUUGUGGAAUGACCUGUAGCAUAUUUCUUGCCGUGGUGUGUGUUCGUUAUUAAUGUUUAUUACUGAAGCGUACCGGAUUUCCAGUGGGCCAAAACUAGCUCCUCGUGUGUUAAAAAAACAAACAAACAGUGUACUUUAUGCACACUGCAUGAUUUCUAUCGCUACAUGAUAUGAUGAUGACAUCGAACACAGAUCUGGAUUGUGCAGUCAAAAAGGAAUCGGAGCGAGACGACGCUUUCUUUCACACGCUACAGUACACACUAAACACACACCGAACAUCGGUCGGCCUGCGAGCCUGUAGGUGUUUGUCUGUGGGAACGUGAGGGGUAAAUUAGCUACUGCAUGGUAGAAGUGGGUACCACGUGUCGUGCUGCAUGCAAUAAUUAAGCUUUGUUCGGAUAAAAAAAUAUAUAUAAUGCAAAACGUUAAGAAUGUGAAGUCAAGCUAGUGGACUGAUGUCUGAUUUUCCCUUAAGUUAAAAAAAAACGUUCGAUACAAAUACAUAAUCAUCUCAAUCGCUUUAUUAUAACCCUUUCUGUAUGUAACGUUUAUUUUUAUUAUUUUCCCCCCCCAAAUAGUCAGGAGUGGAAAGUUGCUGUAUUAUCUGUACAACCCUUGACAUGAUGAGUGAUAUUUGAGUAGCCCCUGAUUAAUCAAACAUCACAGGCUUGAUUGGAACAGGCUUCUUGUUCGAAGUUAAAGCAAAUUCAAGUUUAGUGGACCGUAUACACACACACACACACUCAGUUUGCAACCUAUUGUUAGUUUAAUACGGUUCAAAUAUUAUUUCCAACUGAAAUCCAUGUCCAGGGUGAAUAUUAUUUUCUUCUCCACAAUAUUAUUUUUUUUGUUUAUCAUCACAGGAUGGAUUGUACAGUAUAUGUGGUUAAAUCUAUGCACUACAGAUGCGCUAAGCAUGCGAAGAUAAACCUCUUGAUUUUGUAUAAUUAAAAAAAAAAUUAAAAAAUCUGUAUAAGAAAUUUAGCAAUAAAAACAGCAUGGUGCCAAUCUUA
Long non-coding RNA from Tachysurus fulvidraco (yellow catfish), 3450 nucleotides. RefSeq lists it as uncharacterized. The transcript is spliced from 3 exons. Lineage: Eukaryota; Metazoa; Chordata; Actinopteri; Siluriformes; Bagridae. The record is from RefSeq and is a predicted model, not a curated record.